This 465-nucleotide ribosomal RNA is filed under the name Vreelandella stevensii. RNAcentral describes it as "partial 16S ribosomal RNA". It matches the Rfam family "Bacterial small subunit ribosomal RNA", at positions 338 to 795 of the family's 1533-position model. Lineage: Bacteria; Pseudomonadati; Pseudomonadota; Gammaproteobacteria; Oceanospirillales; Halomonadaceae. The record is from RNAcentral.
CCUACGGGCGGCUGCAGUGGGGAAUAUUGGACAAUGGGGGUAACCCUGAUCCAGCCAUGCCGCGUGUGUGAAGAAGGCCCUCGGGUUGUAAAGCACUUUCAGUGAGGAAGAACACCUGGUGGUUAAUACCCAUCAGGAAAGACAUCACUCACAGAAGAAGCACCGGCUAACUCCGUGCCAGCAGCCGCGGUAAUACGGAGGGUGCGAGCGUUAAUCGGAAUUACUGGGCGUAAAGCGCGCGUAGGUGGCUUGAUAAGCCGGUUGUGAAAGCCCCGGGCUCAACCUGGGAACGGCAUCCGGAACUGUCAAGCUAGAGUGCAGGAGAGGAAGGUAGAAUUCCCGGUGUAGCGGUGAAAUGCGUAGAGAUCGGGAGGAAUACCAGUGGCGAAGGCGGCCUUCUGGACUGACACUGACACUGAGGUGCGAAAGCGUGGGUAGCAAACAGGAUUAGAUACCCCUGUAGUC